RNAcentral lists this long non-coding RNA (22899 nucleotides) under Medicago truncatula (barrel medic). Its description in RNAcentral is "long non-coding RNA (MTRU_LNC003535)". The record is from RNAcentral. Lineage: Eukaryota; Viridiplantae; Streptophyta; Magnoliopsida; Fabales; Fabaceae.
ACCAAGAAGGUUACACAACCGGCCUGAUAAAUUUGACGCCAAGUCAUGGUUAUGAACUCCACAAAGCAUUGCAAUCCACCAUUCUUGUGUUUUUUUUUCAAAGAAGCAUUUCAACCUAAACGGACAAUUACACUUCCUUGAGCUCGUGCCUUCAAGCUUCGGCUUCUUCCUCGUCUUAGGUGGCUUGUAUUCACCACUCCUCUCACAUUGCAUCGUCAUGUAUGGCACUAUUGUACUAGAUUUAUCUGUAGAAAUAGUAAAUCCAGCCCUAGCCGCUUGUUGACGAAUCCAACCAAGUAAUUCUUCUCGAUCUUUCCAUCUUUCAUUUGUUGUAAAAAAUGACCCGGUGUUUACUUGAAUAAUACGAACACCGGUAGGUACCGGUUUAGGCUUCUCUUCAAAGUUACCGGUAGGUACCGGUUUUGCUUGGUUGUGAACUAUGUGAGCUUCAACUUGAAAAGGAAUUUUCACUUUAAACUUCACAUCAUUGGUUGGUUUUCCUUCGCCGGAACCUACGCCUACGCCGGAAGCUUUAUUUUUGCCCGGUUUCGCCUCAACGCCAUCCUCCGCCAUAUUUUCAACCAUGCCACUCAAUAUCUACUCAAUAAAAAAAACAAAGAAAAAAAUAAAUAAAUGACUUGUGCGGCAAGCAAAGCAAAUAAAAAAAGUGGCGCAAAAUUUCAAAUUCUAGGCUACUGUCAGUAGCGUGAGUUAACUCACGCUAGUCCUAUCUACCUACGCAACUUAAGUCACGUUUCCCUUACAACUAGCGUGAGUUAACUCACGCUGAGCCCUACGCCUACUGAAAUGAAAAACGAAACUACCAGCAAAAAUGAAAAAGUUUUGACGAUACAUUACAUGUUCUUUGAUGCUUGAUGAGCGUAGAAACUUGUUUCCUGACGAUUUGCAAUGAUUUGAAAUGAAGAUUUUUACCCAAAAUUUUGCACUUUUGGAAUUUUUGGAGGUGGAGUGAAAGAAAAAAUGGAACUUUGUGGUUUUGAACAAAAAUAGUAUUUAACGCAUGCAAGUUAACAUGCGCUACGUGACUUAAGUCACGUAGCGCAUGUUUACUUGCGUAGGGGUAUUUCGGUCAUUUACUUUGAAAAUGAGCGGAACCAUUUGAGUAAUGAGCAGAAUUCAAGUGCUACUAGUAACAGUAACUGUAAUCGUUUGCUUUGUUGGAAGUAAAUGUAACAUUCCAUAAGCUAAUUGCAGUAUAAGUACUUACAUUACAAUUCAUUAACAACACAUCACUGGAUUUUAGAUGCAUGUGCAAAAUGUGCAAAAAAAAAAUUACACGUAUAUAAAUUAAACUUUUUCAUCCCUUAAAAAUCUGAGAUUUUUUCUAGUUUUUUUUUUUAUUUUUUUAUUGAGGGAAGAUUUUUCUAGUUAUGACGUGGUGAUAUUGGUUAUGAUGUGGAAGAGAUUUCUCUAGUUAACUUGACUUAAUCAAUAUAUCCGUUAUUUUAUGCAUAUCCAAAAAAAAAAAAAAAAAAAACUUAGUAGUUAUUUAAAAACUGGUCCUAAGCCAAAAUCUACCACGCUACAUUUCAUAACUUCCCAAUAUUAUAACUCGCCAACUUCUCGGAACUGCUACUCACUUGAGAAAUUAUCAUCAAUGGCCAACAAACGUGAAGACAUUCAUGAUCAUGACGAUGAACUUUCAAGUGUUGAAGAAGGAAACCCUAACGUCAUGCAACUUUGUUGUUCAUCAAACAAUGCUAUCACCUUGAUACAAAAGGUAAGUGUGACUUAAUUGGUCACUUGUCUCAUAAAUUAAUAUCAAUUAAUUUUUUAAUCAAGAAUGUGGAGACAUGCUAUAAUUCAAGGCGUUGAUCACUUACGAAGAGAAUUACAUUUACUUCACCCUAAGUAUAUGUUUUCGUGGUGGAAACUUUCUUAGACAUCAAAACUUAACAGCAACACCGUAUUUUGAUGUCAUUUCAUAUAAUUUUCCUUUUUUUUUUAUUUUUAUUUUUUUUACUUUCCUCAGAAUCGAACCAACAUUGAAAACUAGUGUAUUUUUUACUGUUUGGGUAUACGAUGUUGGAUUCUUUGUGUUCAAAUAUCGUGUUCAUUUGACGAAGAGGUUUAAAUGGUUUUUAGAGAUAAUGAUUUUGAAGGUCUAAGUCUAGCUUCUUAAAUCUAUGUUUGAUAUAUGCUAGAAUUGCGGUGAUCCACGGUGAUUUUGCAUAAACUAUAAAGUGUAGCUUUUAAAAAGUCACGUGUAUCACUGUGAUUCUAACAUACCCACAGUAAAACCAAAUAUACAUUAAAUCUUUCAUCCAAUCGUAACCAAAGAGCAAGUGAAAGUUCGUGCCUACAACAUGUUGGAUACAUAAUACAAACCAUGUCAUUUUCCACAACAUUAAACGUUUAGAAUUAUAAUACACAUGAAUUCGGACACAAAAUAAAUUUAUGAGUAAAAUAAAAUAAGACACAUGUGUAUUGAUUAAUUUAUUUUCUCUUGAUUGUCACUAGGUGAUUGCAGAAAUCAUUGGGACAUAUUUUGUGGUGUUUGCUGGAUGUGGGUCUGUAGCAGUGGACAAGAUCUAUGGGUCUGUCACAUUUCCAGGGGUAUGUAUCACUUGGGGGCUUAUUGUAAUGGUCAUGUCUUACUCUGUUGGUCAUAUCUCUGGAGGACAUUUCAACCCUGCUGUUACCAUCACAUGGACCAUCUUUCGUAGGACCUCACUUAAAGAGGUACUUAUUUACAUUUUUGUGAUUAAUAACUUUAUAAAAAAAAUUUAGUUUCAUAAGUGACUAAUGCUUUAAUGAAUAUUUCAUUCAUUUGUGUUCUAUAUGAAUCAUUCUAACUACCAUAUGUUUUCUUGUGCAUGUAGGCUCCACUAUACAUUUUUGCUCAGUUGGUAGGAUCAACGCUUGCGAGUGGAACAUUAUCACUAAUGUUCGAUGUCACGUCCAAAACUUAUUUUGGAACCGUACCAGUUGGAUCAAAUGGCCAGUCUUUAGUUGUAGAAAUCAUCAUCAGUUUUCUCUUAAUGUUUGUCAUUUCAGCGGUUUCAACCGACGAAAGAGCGGUAUGCACUCGUAAAUAUCUACACAUUAAGGGAUAUACGCUUGUCGGUGCAAAACAAUUUUAUACUAACAUCCAAUGAUGAUUACAUUUUAUUUCGCAGGUGAAUGAUUUCGCAGGUGUUGCAGUUGGAAUGACUAUAAUGUUGAAUGUCUUCAUUGCUGGGUAAUUAAUUAUUGGUUAAAUACUAAUUUUUUGCAUGACAAAUUAAAACUGUCCAUGAGAGUGACAUAUAAAUAAAUAAAACUGAAUUUAAAUUUGUUGCAGGCCUGUAUCAGGAGGAUCUAUGAACCCAGCAAGAAGUAUUGGUCCUGCACUUAUAGUACAUGUUUACAAAGGACUAUGGAUAUAUGUGGUUGGUCCAAUUGUUGGAGCUAUAGCUGGAGCAAUUGCAUAUAACUUUCUUAGAUCCAUAAAGUCACCUUCAGAGUUAGCAGAUGAACAAUUCAGGAACAUUGUUGUAGGUUGAUUAAUUAAGAGUUAUGUAGUAUUUUCUUUAUUUUUAAGUAGGUACUGCUUUGGUUUAAUAGCUAGUGUUUGAUUUUUUAGCGUAAUGUAAUAAAUUAUGACUGCAUUUUAUGCUAUUAGUAGUGGUUAAUAGACAUGUUUACUUUUAAAUUAUGGAAAAUUAGUGUAAUAGAAUUGUUUGGAUUAGUUCAUUUAACUUUGUCUUGCCCUGCCUAACCUUUUGUACUUGUGCCAAUUGUUAGGUGCUAAAAUCAAUUCUCAGACAAUUUAUAUGUUAUAAGCUAACAAUUUAGUCCUGUCAUGCCAAACAUAGUCUUAAAAAGCAACGAAAAUACAUGGCAACAACUGAAUUAGUUCAUGGCAUGCUAAAUUAAUCAAUUCAACAAAGGAAGUUUAUAUAUAAGAGAGAGAGAGAAGAAAAAAAAAAGGGGGGGUUAAAAUGAAAUAUAAGACAACGUGCCAAAAUAUGAAAAAUAAAAUGGGGAUGAACAAGAAGAAUAAGGAACAAAAAUAAAUCAAACUGUUGUUCUUGAUGAGUAAGAUCAGCUUCAUGAAGUCACCCAAAUAUAAUAGUGAUUGACAUUGCUCCCAAACAAGCCAAAACCAUAAACCCUACAGCUCUAUUUUGAGCAGCAGAGUAAUAAUAGUAUACAUCCGUAGGCUCACCCGACACAUAUAUGAACCUCGGUGGAGGUGGUGUUGGUGGUGGUCGUGAUCGCGGUGGAGGUGGAGGUGGAGAUGAUGGUUGUUGUGGUGGUGACGGUGGUGGAUUACUAUUUAUUGGGGAGGAAUACUCGGGGAGCGGUAGGGAUUCUGGUGGUGGUGUAGGAGGUGGUUGCGGCGGUGAAAGUUGUUCAUCACAAGGGUUUCCACAAGGACAUGAUCCACAUUUGAUUUCAACGUCUAAUGGCUUAGAAGCCAAUGAUAAUUGGUCUAAUUUGCUAGAUGAGUAUGCAUUAAUUGUGAUGAAGAAAAGAAGAACUAUUGUAAAUAUUUGAGAACUAUGUUUUGGAGACACCAUUGUAUGAGUAGUGACUUUGAAUUUGAUUGAUUUUGAGGCAAGGUAUAAUAGAUAGAAGAGCUUGUAUAUGAAGUAGGGUGUGUGUAGAAUUUGGUUAUGCUAUUCUUGGCUUACUUAUAUUGCACGAAUGCUGUGCCAACGGCUCAAAGCAAAUAUUACUCAUUAAGUAACCAAAAAAUUCGAGUGGAAACUUUAUUUAAUUAGUGUAUUUGUAUUUGUAUAAGUUUGUGUGUUUAGUAGAAACAUGAUACUCCAAGAUAAGAGUGUAGACGAGUUUUAUUUUUAUUUUUAUGGAAGAGUGUAACCAGUUAUAAGUUGAAUUAUCGAAUAUUACUUGAUAUUUUAACUCAUUAAUAUAAUUAUAUUUAUAUGGGAAAUUAAUAACUGUUGAAUUUUAUGUAACCAAUUAUGUUUUUAAAUUCCAUGAACAAGAAUUAAGGAGCAAUAUAAGAUGAUCUUUAAAUUUGUUGAUCGAGUGGAGUCUAAUGUUCGAAAAGUUAUUGAUUUGAGUCCCAUACCCUAAACUUUUAUUAACAAAAAAAUAACAUUAUAUCUUUAUUCCCAACACUUAUAUGAUCUAAGUAUAUAUAUUCUUGCCUUUUGCAUCAGGCAUGGUGAUGAUGAUGAUGAGUGACUCUCUGCCCCACCCUUUCAUUUACAGUUUUAUGAUACUAUUCAACUUAAUUUGAUAGCUGGUAUGAGAUAAGGUGUUCACACAAAUAUAGUUGUUAGGGCCGGCUUAAGAGUAAGACCAUCAAAACCUCCACUUUAGGCCAAUAAACAAAAAAAAAAAAAACAUUAAAUUUUAUUAGCAAAAAAGCAGCAUGUGCAAACAAAAUAAACCUUAUAUAUUAAAAUUUGCUUAGGUCUCAUUUAUUUUUGAAGAUUAUUUGGCUCUGAUAGUUGCUUGUGCAUUGGAGAAUCUAAUGUGUAUAUAUAUGUGCAAAUUAAAGAAUAAUAAGGUACAAUAAAACUAGUGAGUUAUGUCAGUUUUUAUAAGAUAAAGGCUAUGCUCUUAAAAAACUAAAAAAUGUAUACAGCAAAAAAGAGAAAGAGAAAAAAAAAAUAUGUCGUAUUUCUCAAUAAUUAUUAACGUACUUCAAUAAUGAAAUGCCUCUACUUUUUUUCUUCUUCUUUUAUUUUUCAUUUUUUUUUUAAUAAAAAUGCCUCUUCUUUUUAGAUUUUGAAUAAAAAUGCCUCAUCUUUUUAGAUUGUGACAAACGUUAGUUCGUUAAUAAAUUAGUGAGUUAUGUUAGUUUUUAUAAUUUGAACCCAUGGUUAAUAAUCCUUCAAUGUUUCUCAAGAAGGUUAUAUUAUGAUCAUUAAUUACAAAAUGCCUACUACAGUGGUUCACUUUGCAUAAAGUGUAUAUAGUUGCCAUUAUUCUUCCCUGUUAGUGGGUUUAUUCGAUACCUUUAUUUAAUGUAGCUUGCACUUAUAACAUAAGAAUCUCUCGCUUAUGCUUUUUCCUUUUUUUGUGUGACAAAAUUGUGGUAUUUUUCCUAACAUCCUUUAUGUUGUGAACCUUAUAAAAGUAUUAGGAAGAGAGAACACACUAGCGUUUUAGGAAUCUCAAAUUAUUUAUUUUAUUUACAAACAUUUGAAUGUUUUAACGGCGAUUCAAAUUGUGUUCUAACUUAACCAUAGUCUAGGUUCAAAUUUAGCUUUAAACAUGCAGCAAAAGUUUAUUGUCCGUUUGAAUUCCAACAAGUUUGAGAGAUUAAUUUUCGCAAAUGCAUAGGGAGGAUACCAGUUUACACAAAAAAAGUUGUGUAUAAUAAAGUUAAUGGAUGGUAAUACGUAGUGGGUCAAUCAAUCUGAAAAGUGAGCUCCAUAUAAGUAAUAAUGAAAAAAAAAUAUUAGACCUUAACUGGUCAUGCACCCUACUAGUAGAAUCCUAAAAAUCGAAAUUUUUUUGAGGAUUUACCUAAAAUCUGAAAUUUAUGGGUGGAAUCACUUCUACAAUGUUUUAAAUAGGUAAAUAAUUCAAAAUAUUAUCUUAAUUAUAAAACCAAAAUAUAUCUAAUCGCUAAAAUAAGUGUAAUGUUCAACCUUGUAUCAAAAUAUACAAAAUUAUCCCAUAAAAUCAUUAAAACAUCCAACAAACAAUAAAAAUAAAAUAAAAAGUCUUGCUAACGAGUGCCCUAAAGACAUUGGUUAAAGAUCCCUUAAUAGAAACUUUGUAUUAGUAAUACAAGAAUUACUUUUGUCUUAGCAAUAAUUAUACCACUUUUUAAUACAAACUUAAUUAUUUUAGAACUUUAACCAUUGCUCCAAGGGCACUUUUUAGCAUUCCAAAAAAAUAAUAUUCAUAAGCUUUAAAGUUGUUGACAAAAAACUAUCCAAAAAAAUUAGAGUUAGGGUUUCACCUUUUUAGUUUAAAUGUUUGGUUAAGUUGUUUGUUAUUGAAAGUAUUGCACUCUCACGCGUUAAAUGAGCUUAUGGGUCACAAAGAAAAAAAAGACUAAAAGAAAGACUUUAUUAAAGUAAACUUGUUUAAAAUUGGAUGAGAUUGUCCGAUUUUGUUGCGGGUUAAAUCGCUCAAACUCAGUACAUUCUCCAAUUUCACUAUUAAACAAGUUUGUCACUAAAUUCACACCUUAAAACGUAAGCUCAAGCGAAUUUAGGAGUUAACACUCAAGUUUGGUGUCUAUCUUUGUGUUUUUUUUUUUUGUAGAUGUGGUUUAUGAUAGCUAAACAAUAUUUGUAUCAUUAUCCGGCUUUGUUCCAUUAUGGCACAUCUUGUGUUUGUAUUUUUAAAGUUCAGUGCAAAAUUAGGAAAAUUCACUAAAUUGUUUAAUUUUUCUUUCACAAAUUGAUGAACUAAAUUGCUUUAUAAUAUCAAGGUUGCACAAAAUGGUAUUGUUGGCUCACUUUCUUACAAAUAAUCACCUCAUGCUUAUACCUUUGUAAUUAAUUGAGCGUGAUUGUUUAAGGACCAUAGAUAAAUAGAAUUGUUAUUUAAGUAUUAAAGUAUCUAUAUAGCAUUGUAUGUGUUUAUCUUUUUCUUUUGCUUCCUUUAUACGAAAUUUAAAAAUAUGCAUAAAAACCAACGAGACUAUUUGAUAUUAAUAAGUCUCACGUCUAACAAUCAUUUCCUUCCCCUAAAAAAUAAUAAUUAUAUUCCUUAUAAAUAUGUACAGCCUAAACAAUUGAACUAAAGAUGCAUGUAACCAACAAUGAUAAACAGUUAAUUAAUUGGUCACAAAUCUUAAUAAUAAUAUACAAAUGGGAAGAAACAAAUAGCAAAAAAUUUUGCACCAAUCCAAUGUGUCAAAUCCUCAAGCCCCUUCAUGUCACAUCACCAUUAAAAACUAAUUUUAUUUUUGCCAUUUUAAGCAUUCACACAAUACAAACAAUAAAAUAUCAUUAUCACAUAUUUUCCCUCUUCAAUUCAAAUUUCAAAUUUCAAAAUUUUUCAAAUCAUUCUUUCUUUCCCUUCUACCUUUUCUCUUAUGCCAACAUACAUCAUUUCUCUCUCUUUCAUUCCAAACUUAUUUCUUUUUCUUCCUCACUUUCUCUCUCUUCCUCUUCCUCACAACUCUCUCAUGUAAACCUCACUCUCCCUCCAUGAAACCAUUUUUCCUCUACCUUCUUUCUUCAUUUCCGAUCAACUUCGGCUGCCUCACACAGAAAUAAAACCACCAUAAUAUUCCUCUCUUCAUCCUCUUCAAAACCCACUAAUUAAUUUAUAGAUCUAUCAAGUUCACUCAUGAGGUGAUUUCUAAAAUUGUUGUUUUCCGACCACCGUGGACUGCCUAUGGAGAAAUUAAGCAGAAUAUCUCCUUCACCAUGAAUGCUACAGUAAAACACACAAAAAUUUAUCUUCAUCGGAGAAACUUCGCCAGUGACCAGCGCACCGGAAUUCGCUUCCGCGGCGCCGGAGUUACAAUCAGAAGCUUCUUUUAUUUUCAUUCAGAUCUCUUCAAAGGUUAUUUGUUAAUUUUGUUUGUUUUUUUUUUUUUUCUCUUUUUGGAUACAUUUUGUAUUUCUCAUUCAACCACUUGCAAUAAUGAUAAAUGAUUUUCUGUUUUGAUUUUUUUGUGCAGCAAUAGGUGGAGAAAAAAUAGAGGAAUUGGAACAACUGCAACAUGUUGUGAUCCAUAUCUUUGUUUUCCUUGGUUAGUGGUUUUCUGACCAGUUUAUAGUUUUAACAAAAAACUUCUUUUUAUAUUUCCUUUAGAUUAAGGUUUUGUUAAAUGUGUAAUUUUAUAAUUUUUAGAUUAGUCCUUCAAUUAAACUAUUGUAAUUGUGUAGCAAAAAAUCCAAGUCAUAUCGACUGAAACAAUUGAAUGAUUUUUGGAGUUUAAAUUGAAUCAACUUGAUAAUUAAUUCAAGACAAUUGUUCAUUUGUUGCACAUGCUAAUUAGUUUACACAUUGAUACACAGAUUCAUUUUGAAAUUCAAAACAAGGUGUUUGAAGAUAUUUAAAUGUGCAUUCUUUGGAGAAUUUGUGAAUAAAUUUACAUGAUUUCAACUUAAGAGGGCCAAUGAAGUUCUGUUCAUGAUUUUGGAUUUCAUAUGAUUUUGGAUUACAUGUGAAUAAAUGUACAUGUAGUUUAAUUUUUGGAUUUCAUAUGAAUUUUUAUUGUGAAAUUGAACACUCACCAAGUGUUUGACAAAAUGUCUCAACAUUGAAAACUGAUGGCAAAUAUAAACAACAACAUCUUGGUCUUUGUUUGGUACUUUUAUAUACAAUAUUAAAGUUUAUUGGCGGUUCUGUCAUGUUUAUUUAGACUUUACUGGUGUUGUUCCUUGAUAAAGAUAUGCAAUUUUAAACAAAAACACAUUUAUUUAACUAUACUUUUAUGUGAUUCAUGCUAAUUUAAAGGUUCUAUGAUUGUUACUAUAAUAAAUAUGUUAGUAAUGGUUCUAUGAAUAAGUUAAGGUCAUAAGUUUGGUUAGCUCUUAAUUUUUGAAAGAAGCAUACUGCAGACAAAUUCAAAUUACAAGAGUUAGUAUCUUAUUUCAUCAUCUUUUGAUGCUAUUAUUUGUGUUAGUUUUUAUUAUUAUUAGAAAACAAUUCUUGCAUCUAACACACAUUCAAAUUUCAAAUUUGAAUGUGUCUAUCAUUUUUAAAUUCAAACAUAUAUCCACUAAAAGACAUGCUUACACACAUUCACAAUGCUUACAUCACACAUGCCAAUUUCGUCAAACAUCAAAAAGAGAUAUUAUUUGAUUUUACUUAUACUUUGUUUUGUCAUUAAAACUUCAAUGAUUUCUAAGCUUAAGAGUAUUUCCUAUAAUGAGUAUAAAAGUACCACAUUUUUGUAUCUUUUAUGCAAGCUUAAAUCAUGACCUAUUUAUCUAGGUAGAAAAAAAAAUCCUUUAUUUUUGGUGUUUGGAAUCUUUUACCAUUUUCAUGAGAUUGAGAUUUAGAAUCAUAUUUAAAUAUUUACAUAUUGGUCAAGUUCAGAAUUUGAAUCUGAAUAUGACACAUCUCUUUUUUUUGUUUUUUUUUCUUUCACACUCUGUCUAUGUUUGGUUGUUUGAGCUCCAAUAGAAGACCUCUGUUCAGAUUUUUGUGUUUUCUUUUAAUGCUCAUAUCUGCCUACAUGUUGCUUGAUCGAAGGUUUUUGAAGAAAUUCCACAUCCAUAUAUAAUCAAGAUAAAGAGAAGGGUUGUUCUUGAUGAUCUUAAACAAGUAAGAUCAAUCUUAUUUUUAUAGAUACUACUUAAUCAGGUCUUAUUAGUUAUUCAUUCAGUGCACUCAUAUUUCAAUGUUUUGGCAGAUUUUGAAGCGUUACAUGAGAGAUCAAGAUUUGUAUUUGAGAUUAAUGGCCAUGAGGUAACUUCAUUUCUUAGUUUAGAUUUAUUUUUUUGUUAUUAGUGAUUUUCCUUUCUUUCAAUUGGUCUUUAUAUAUGGGAGAUUUGUAGUAGUGUGGAAGAUAUCACAAUAGAAUUGGCCAAAACUAACCAAUGAGAAAAAAAUUAGAAGUCUUUUCUUUCUACAAAUGACCAGUCCUAUUCCAUCUGCAAUUUUCUUUAAACACAAGAUGCUUUGUUGGCCCCCCAAAAAAAGAUGAUAUGUUGUACACAUGACCAGUCACAUUCUAUCUGCAAUUUUCUCCCUUUUCAAUCAAGUUUUCAAAUUCAAAUCCCUCCAAAAUAUUUUAUGAUCCCUAUAUUUGUGGCUGACAGUGUUGGAAUUUCACAUUUUGCAAUGUCUAUGGAUGUGGCCUCACUGAUUGCUCCUUGGUGUCAAACUAUGGUAAAUAUUUUUUACCUAUUAGGUUGAUCCUUUGCUAUUCUGGGUUUUUACUAUAAACUCAAUUGUUGAUCCUAAUGCUCUUUCCAUACACCCUAUGGCAAAGUUUUUUGUGGGAUUUCAAUUCUAGGAGUAAAAGGAUUAUCAUCUUUUUCUGAUUAUAGUCUUAAACUAGCUAUCAUAUUCUUCUAUAUGAAAUUUUGUGAAAAGUCCAUAUCUUUGAAGAUACUAAUUGUUAGCUGAAAUAUUUUGUACAAAUUUACUCUCUGUCAUUUUGAGUUGAUGGGCCACAAGACAAAAUUCCUGUUAGGAGCUAUAUCAAUUUGUUGUUCAUAUCAUUGAGCUUUUAACCUUUACUUUAUUAUUUUGCCAGCUUGCAUGUAUUGUUAAGUUGACACUAAGUUUUAUGAAUAUGUCAUGCUAUCUUAUUUCCAAAUAGUUAACUAAUCUAAAUGGGGUUUUGAAAUGCUUGACAUUUUUCCCCAUGGCAAUUUCUUUACUAAUUCACUUAACAAGUUAACAUAUAGAUUUAUAUUGAAGGCCUUUGUAAAUCGUGAAAGUGUUUUGACUCCUUUUGGCACUGAUUGGAAAUAUAAUUGUUAGUGUUAUAACUUAUAGGUUCUUUAUCUAUUGAACCAGGGCCUGUUUUGAUUGAUUUCAUGAUGCCCUUGCUUUUUGGCUGUUGCGGUUCUAUGAACUAAGGUAACAUCCUAAACUUUAGUUCUCAAACUAUUGUACCCAAACAUGGAUAUUAAUAUAUUAUAGUAUCAUCUUUGAUUAACUGUCUUGGUUAUGCUUUAUGAUCAAUGAAAUACUUUAGGAUGAUACAUUUAAGUAAUUAAAUACUUUUAGUAGAUUAUCGUUAUUUUUAAACUUAUAAUCAGUUUGAUGAGAGAGAACGAUAUGUUAGGAUCAAUGGAAGGUUACAGAGAUGAAACAAUAUGUAAGGGUGGAAUUGAGUUCCCUAUGAUACAAAACUGGAACAGUUAUGAUGGGGUACCUGGACAAGAACCUGUUUUUAAUUCUUUCAUGCAUUUGAUGGUUAAGAUUAAAUAGGUAUGCAAUUUAACAAUAUUAGAUUUACCCUGGGAUUGACUUUUAAUUUUAAUUUUUUUUAAAUAGUACCUCUUCUUAAUGUUAGUGUGGAAGAUAUCACAACCAAUUACACGUUUGAGAGUUUCUCCUUCAAGGUAUCUAAUUAAUUCUACCCUUCCUAUCUUCAGCCAUCUGUUAGACUAUGUUUUCUCAGCUAGGUUGCAUUUUGUUUUUAUCACCUUCCUAUUUAAUUUCAAUCUCCCUACUGUAGUUCCUUUAAAGAAUAUUCAUUUUUGUUUGUUAGAAAAUUCACUAUUGACUUUGCAGAGCCAUUUCAUAGUGCUGAAUUAAGAUUUUUACAUAAAUGAUCAUAAAUCAAUGAUUGUUGGAAAAUUGAUACUAGAGAGGCAGAGUCAUUUUUUUUACCAAAUGACUGCAAUAAACCAAGUUACUUGUCUGUUUUGAAUCACAAGAACACAUUAAAUUUGAUAUUGUCUGUGUUAAAUGCAAUGUUCAUUCAAGUUUUAUUCGAAUUCAUUUUCCCUUUUGGAAUGGCGAUGAAGAAUUUAAUGAUAAAAUUAUUGUAGAUUAAACAGUUUUCACUUGCACUCAUUUGAAGACUAAUAAAACAAUCUCCCUACUUAAUAUCAUUGACUUAUAAAUUUGCUGGUAUAGGCAAUAUUGGAGCAAUGGGGGACUAGCAUGUGACUAAUUUUACAUGGAUAGGAAGGUGUUGCUAUAAGCUUCUGCAACAAGUAUAAGAGUGAAUACAACUGUCUAUCAAGUUCUUCAAUAGUGUGUUACAUACAAAAACAAUAGACAAUUAUUUAAAAAAAGUAUAUAGAUUGAUUGAAAGGCAAAAAAUAUUAGACAAUUGUGUAUUAAGUUCUUUAUCAAAUUUGUAACUCAAAACUGAUUAAAUUGAUAUAAAUGAUGUAUGAUUUACGGGAAGCAUAACAGAUGCUUACUUAUUUGUGAAGUAGAUGUUUAAGCUAUUAUUGACAAUGACUUUUUACUAAGUUUCCUUUUGAAUUGUGUUUUUUUCUUUUUAUAUAUUUCUUUUAGUGUUUUGUUUAUUAAGUUUGAAUUAAAUUAGUUCAAACUUCACCCACAAUUCAAACUCAAAAUUCAAACAUUCACACUUUCAAUCUCUCACUCUUUAUUUCUUAUUCUUCUCUCUCUGUGUAUGGCAUAAAUCAUAUUGAAUAUUCUCUAAACAUAUAUUUCAAUGCUAACCUCAAACAAAUCAAUAUUUCCUAUACAUGGGGGCUAUAAAUAUUUGAUGGUAGUUUGAAAUUUUAUAUUUCUCUAAAUAUGGGAUGCUAUAAUAAGUAUUUGAUUUAAGUCCUAAAUUUCAUAUUCUUCAAACAUGGGGCUAUAGGUAUUUUAGUUAAUGUGAGGCUAUAAUAAGUAUUUGAUUUAAGUCCUAAAUUUCUUAUUCUUCAAAUAUUGUUGUGAUUAACAAUUGUAUUAGUGUUAAAAUCACAAACUCCACUCAAUUAAAUUAUAAGACAAACUCCACUCACAAUUCAAAUACCCACACUUUCAUCCUAUUCUCACUUUCACUCUCAAACAUUAUAAUAUUGCAUAUGGACAGUUGUAUGUUGGUGUUUGGAGGGUACCACCAAGAAAGGGUUUGACAAUGUUGAUUUUGGAUGAAGAUGGCAAUCCAUGCACCUCAACUAUCAAUGUUGUUUAUCCGGAUGUGUUUGAUAAUUUGUAGAAAAUAGCUUAUUAGGUAUGAAUAUGUGUAUAUUUGAGCUUUAUGGUCAAUUUGAAUUAUCCAAUAUACAUUAAUCACACGCAAAAACCUUUAUUUAAUUUUGUAGAUAAAUUUGGAGUUAUCAAACGAUGAUGCAUCUAUUUUAAAGAUGAAUUUAUUUAUUUUUUUGGAUUAAUUGAUCUUCCAAGUAUUGACUACUUUUUUGUGACUUAUAACAUGUGUAGUCAUUAAUCAUUAUUGAUCAGGGUUAUGCAAUGAUUUUAAAUUAAAUUGAACUAUAUGUCAAAUGAUGACAACAUAAGCUGAUUCUUUUAACAAGUGCAUUAUAUGUUUUUAUUUUAAAGGUACGUUCAAAGUAAUAAUUUAGUUAAGACGCAAAAAAUAUUUUUUCGCCCGUGCGUUGCACGGGUGGAAAUACUAGUAAAUGACAUGCACAGUUGCACGCAAUAAACUUCCACUGCUUCUUAAAUUUAAUGGAUGGUGUUGGGAAUUUUGCGUUCUUGCUUAAAAGCUUCUAUAGUUUUUAGUCUUCCCAUUCAAAACAAAUAAAAUAAGAUAUAUUCAAAGAAAGAUUAAAAAGAAAUAGCAUUCAUUAGAAGAGUUUACUUUCAAACCGAUGGAAAUAAAAUAAUAGAAGUAAUAUUUUUUUUAAGGAAUAGAAAUAAUAUUAACAACACUCAUUCUCCAUUUGUUUUCCAUUCUCUGUUUGAACUAUGUUGUUGAUGUAACCUUUUCUCUAUUUAGUUUCCUUAUUAUUAAUAUAUUUUAGUUUGGUUUCUUAAAAAAAAAAAAAAAGAGUGUUGUUACCUAGUUGGAACACUAAAGUUGAAAUUGAAAGUUGCAAGAAUAAACACCACCAAGUCACAUGCACAAUGGAUAUAACUAGUGUUGUGUGAAUUGAAAAAAACGAAAGUCUCACAUUAAAUAGAACACACAUUAGUAGAAUUUACAAAUGAGGAGUCACUCACAAGGUGUGUCUUGGGACCCUUGGGCUACUCACGAAAAUAUAUAUAUCACACGCGCGGCGACACCGUCAUCCGAAAGUGCGGAGACACCGCCAUCCGAACAUUCUAUAAUGCAUUAGUUAAUCGUAGUACAGUCAAUCUUGCACAAUUUUUUUAUUAGUGUUGCAAAACAGAACAAUGUGGUCGUGACUCAACCUAAUAGAUUUUUCGAUGAUAAUUCUUUCAACGUGUUUUCGAAUUCCAAAACCAACGAUUACUCUUAUUUAAAUUACACCAUUAAAACACAAAGUAUACGGAUCUAACUAUGCAAAGAAUACGACAUAUGAGUCAACAACAAAGUGUAACUCAAUGCAGACAAAGACGAUGACCCAAGUCUACCCAUCAAAGUCAAGUAAGCCCUUUGGAUGGAUAAGUAAUGCCCAUUUUCCUUUCCUCUACUUGGAUGACGUCAAAUCUACAUCCACUUUGUUCUCUACACACAUCAAUUAACAUAUUUUCAUAUUUUCCCAAUAAUAGUGCUAUAUACAUCAUUAUAAAUUAUACCUUUUUUUAUAUUUAAAAAGGAGUUAAUUUAUCCAAAAUUUACAAUCAUGUCCAAAGGAAAGCUCCUAGUCUCCAACUACUAUCUUCAGGUGCACGACUGUGUAAUUCACAAAGUUCUUCACUCAUAGUGUAUACAUUAUUCUAUAAGUUAUCUUCCUCUAAAAAAAAAAAAAAAAAUCAAUAAGUUAUCCUGGAUUGGAGAAACUAUUAAAUUUCCUUAUAGAAUUCAAUAUCAUAUAGCUUUAUUUGGAUUGAACUGUUAAAAUUUAUAUAACAAAUUUUAAUUCUUCAAAUAGAAUUUUACUAUCAAGAUGAAAAAAUUUACCAGGCUUUAGACCAUAUUUUUUAUUUUUACUUUUUCUCACUUAUGUGUGUGUGCAAAAAUAUUUUAUAUUUGAGUUUGUGACUAACUAUUGCUCAUAUAUCAUGUCAUAGCCACAAGUAACAAGUGUUACCGAAGAUACUACUUUGACAUACGAUUUAUAUAUUUACAAAUACGGAAUGUUAACGAGUGUCUUCGGGGCACUCUUUAAGACCCAUAAGUAGUAAGUAUUUUUAAAAAUGCAUGUAAUCAUUGCCUUUGAAAUUGAAAUAUUUAACUUUUUUAAAGAAUAAUUACUUAUUUUAGAAUGCUUAAAGAGUGCCCCAAGGACACUCGUUAACAAGACCCUUAAAAAUAUAUUGUCAACACAAAAAAUGGAGAUAAACUUAAUUGAUAGUCACAAUUUCAAUUAUAUUUUUUUGUCUAAAUCAAAUGUGUAUAAUUGUAGAAAUUAAUAUCUCAAAUUGGAUAUGAUCACAAUGGAUAUGUGAAGCCUUGAUACUUCAAAAUAGAUGAUGUAUCGAAUCCCUUGCGUAUCAUCUACCGAUACCUGCUUGAUACUUCCCGAUACGUAUCAGGAGAGUAUCCGAAGAUUAAUUUUUAUUUUUUAAAAAAAUAAUUAUCUGAUACUUCCCAAUACGAGUAUCCGAUAAUUAUUCUGCAUCGAUACCUACCCCGAUAUUUUCCAAUAUUAAUGUUAACUAAAAUAAUUUAACUUUUGAGUACUAAUGUGUUCUUUUUUUAAUAUAGUGCUUAUUUUUUGGAUCGAUAAAGUAUAGCACUAACGGAUAUAGUAUAGCACUGAUGGUGCUCUUUUUGGGAUAUAUUGUGUAUGUAAUUGAUUAAUCAUCACUCUCUUAAUCGUCAAUAUUAUAUUUAUAUUGAUGUGCUACGAGCCUAUGACUGAUUUCUUUUGUUUGUUAAUAUAUUUGUAUAUUAAAAAAAAGAUUAUAAUUAUAUUGUACAUUUAAUUAUAUAUUUUUUAUUAACGUAUCCCAGCCGUAUCGUAUCUUGAUUUUUGAAAUUUUUCCGUAUCGACGUAUCGAUGCAGUAUCGUAUCCAUAUCGUAUCUCAAAUCCGGGCAUCACAACAAUGGAUGAUAAAGUUCUCCUUCAAAAAAUUAAAUAUUAUUGUAUUGUUAAAGUUAGAUUCAAAUCCAAAACCACUAAAUAAAUAGAAAGAAAUCCCUUAUCAUAUCAUCCUAUUACAAUCUAUAUACUUAGUCAAAUAUACACUACAACUAAAUAGGAUAAUCUCAUAAAAAAUGACAAGAUACUCCCUUUACUGGAAAAUAUAGGGAUAAUAGUUAUUUUAAUAUCUGAAUAUAUAACGAGUAGCUAUAAUAGUCACUUAAUGUAUCAAAAUUUUAAAUAGUUUUUGAUUGUGCAAUUCUUUAGUCAAAAUAAUCAAUGACGUAAAAAUAGUCUGUCAAUGUUGACAAGAAAUCUUUUCUUAUAUGGACCGAUAUGAUAAUAAGUAAAUACUAAUAACAAUUGAUAUAACAGUAAGUAAGUAUAUUGAUGGACUCAUAUGACAGUAUUUGUUGUGAAUUCAUUAAAAAUCACACCAAUAAAACGUGAUGUGUGGAGCAAAUUAAUAAAGCAACCAAUAUCAACGUGGCUAACAAUUAUAAACACAAGCAAAAGUUAUAACAACGAGAGAGAAGAGAAAGAACACAAGCAAAUUUGUUUACCCAGUUCGAUCCAAUACUGACCUAGUCAGGGGAGAGAGCAGUUCUAUGUUCCACAGUAAUGAUGAGUAACUUUACAAAAGAGAUAUCGAAGGGGUUACCAUAACAAGUCUUCAAACUUAAUUCUACCCAAAAUCCUGAAUCUCUUCCCGCGACCAAGAGACUCAAUCCUAAUAGUGUUUCUCCAAGGUAAAUCAAUCCCAACGCUAGUGUUUGUUGCCAAGAGAAUUAUCUACAAACCCUGCAGGGGCGUAGCCCUUCAUAUGGGAGGGGUAGCCUUGGCUACCCCAAAAAAAAUAUUAUUCUUGAAUUAGUCGGUAUGUAUUGAUAUCUGGCUACCCCAAUUAAUAAACAUUUGGCUACCUCAAACAAGUUUAGUUGCAAAAAUUAGCAUAAAUAAUAAAGUAAAAAAACUACUCCAAAAUUAAUAGAUUUAUUUGUAUUGGUUUGAUACUUUCGGUCUUAAUAACAACAAUAGGUCUUAAUAACAAUACAAAAACCUUUUUCAACAAUAAAAAUUAUCAAGAGAAUAGUCAUAGACAAAUUAAAUGGACAAUGAGUUUCUUGCAAAUAACUUAUUUAUUUACAUUUGAAAAGACAUUAUUAAUCUAUUAUUAAACAGACAGUUAUUGAUGAAAUUGGGUUCUUCAAAUGCAUUUUGCCCAAACAUUUAAAAUAACGAUUUUUAUGUUAAGUUUCUAAGAUUUGUUAAUUUUAGUAUUUAAUUUUUUGUUAGAGAUUAAAUUCAAGACUAAAAACACUUUUUUUUUUUUGUAAAAUUUUAAAAAACUGAGAUAAAAAUUGAAUAAAUUUUUUAAGGACUAAACCUAAAAAAUUAUAAUUUAUGAGACUAAAAAUAUACUUUAUCCUUAAAUUUAAUACAUCUGUUUUCAAAAAAAAAAUUCUUCUUUAUAGUUGGCCCCUGCAUAAAUUUUUUACGAGCUUCGCCGCUGAAACUCUAGGUUUGAUGUUGGCUUUUAAACCCUUGUUUUAUGGCUCUUUACUCUCACUCAUUUCAUCUGAUACAAGGUUUAUAUUUAUAGUGAAGCAUCCCUUAAAAAAUGGAACAAAUUCAAGCCCAAAAAAUAUGUUUUAUUUUUCAGUUGAUGCGAGAAAUCGGGCACCAAUUUCAACCCUUCGGGCGCCGAUUUUCGCCGAGACGAUAGUCUCAAAAAUGAGCAAAAUUGAGGCCCCGAUUUUGUCUCUCCUGCAACCAUCAAUUUUGAGUCACUUUCAACAGUAUUAAUAUAACAUUUUAACGCGAAUGACUAUUUUGACUAACGAAAUGCAUAAUCAAUGACUAUUUUAUAAUUUACAUUUAGGAACUAUUGUAUUUACUCAUUACACAUUCAGGGACUAAAAUGACUAUUACCCUAAAAUGUAAGCAAAAUGGAUUAAAAAAAAAAUCAAAUGUAUUUGGAUCAAAAUUUAUAUUAUUACAUUUUCACAUUGGAAAAAAAAUUUACUUAAAAAGGGGUUGUCGCCCUUAAUCCUCUCUUCUCUUGACUAGUCUUUCUUUCCCUCUAUGGUAGAGCAGCCAGGGGAAGACUUUCACAUCACUAAUAAUGCCUUUUAUCACACGUAAAAUUGAAUGUCGAUAUUUACCUAGUUUUUUAGAUAAUAAUAGAGAAAAUUGAAUGUUGAUAUUUCAACUUAUUUAGGCACACCUAUUACAGAGUACUAAAAUUUAUAAAUGAAAAUAAUUGAGGCCAAAAAUUUGGAGGAAAUUUGAAUAGAGAUUAAGUAAAAAUUUAUGUCCAUAAAUCCUAACUCAACUGAAAAAAUAUUGAAAUUGUUAGAUCAGACGCUAUGAUCGAAAUUCGAACUCCGGGACCUCUACUUGUGUGUGAGUUUAUAAUAGGUUUGCCAUUUCGUCUAUUAAAAAAAAAAAAAAAAAGUUUAUAACGAGAAAACAUGUUUUUCCUUAAUAAUUUUUUAAGAGUUAUAAUCAAUUUUUCUUUUUAAAAAUCUAUAUAAAAGUUUAUUGAAGGUUAAAAUCAAUUUCUUUUUCCUCAAAUAUGAGUUUUCUUAUUAAGCCUAUAACACUCACAAACCACAUAUAUUUAGUAUACCAAGUUUUUAUAGCGUGUAACUCUCCAUUACAUACCCUCUAAGAGAGGGACUUGAAUCCUCUAAUUUAAUUUGUUAACAUGGCGAGGCCUCUUCUUGUGUCUAACAUGCACACUCUUCUUCUAUUUUCAUCCAUGCCAACCACAACAAUUCUAUUUGUUGUUCUUUCAGUUUUUUCUAUUUUUUCCAUCAUCACUUUUCUAUGUGGUUCUAAGAACAUGAAGAAGCUCCACACAGAGGCGGAGGAGGAAGCAACGGUGUCUUCGACCAAGGAAACUAAGCUAAUUUCGAAGCUAAACAGUAAAAUUAGCACCAGAGCUAUUUCAAUGGUGAGGAUGCUAUCUUGGAGAAAAGUGCAGGCUGAAGGAGGAUUGGAAGAAGGAAACCAAGAAGAAGAAGUUCUUUGGAGGAAGAACAUCUUGAUGGGAGAAAAGUGUCGCCCGAUGGACGACGAAAAUUAGAGAUUUUUUAACGGUAAAUGUUAAUAUUGUUAUUUUUUUAUGACGACCAUAAGAUCAAACUUUAGACCUCCUUACACUAUUUAACUUUUCAAUCAGCCACCAAAACAUCUUUAUAUGCAUAAAGAAAAUUAGUAGUAACUUCUAAACUCGUGUAAGGGGAUAAAGGAUUUGUUUUGGAUUUUACAUAGGGUUUGGACUUUGAUUUGAAGGGUUAGAUUCAAAGUUUAUCGAUCGAGGUUUUUCAGAGUUGGAUUUCUAAUUCUAUGUGCUAAUUUGCUUCCUAAAAAAUAUCUCAAUGUUUUCUUUCAUAUGUGGUCCAUGUUGAACCCGUGAAUGAAUAUUGCCUAAAAAACCAGCUAUGAUUAAUGAUGCUCUAUAGAAGUAGAAGUUGAUGGGUUUUAUCCUCACAACUAAGAUCGUAAGUUGUAACUUGAUCGAUGUAAGUUUAAUAAAAGUAAGAAAAAAAAUAAAGGAUUAAUCCUCGUAACAUUUUCCUUUAGUAAUUUUAGGGAUCAAAAAUACCAACGACAAAUUUUACAUAACUAAAAAGGUUGAUCGAAAAUUUUACACGAACUAAAAAUACUUAAAGAAAAUUUUACAAAGAAUGAAACGUGCAAUUUCUUUUUAAGAACUAAAAACAAAAUUUUGAAUAUUUAUUAUGAUCAAAAAAUAGUGCGCUCUUGUUCAUCACCUUUAAUUUCGUCAUCUCAACGUUGAAUUGUUGUAGCACAAAAAAAUUAUCCUUCUUGCACAAACUAAAACAAUAUCCUUUGUAUUUAGUUGUGGAUUAGAGAAGAUAUAUUUCACAAAAAAAAUAACAUUUAGGGACUAAUUGGUUGUUUUUCACAUGACUUUUUAAAGACUUAAUUGAUGUAUUUUUGGAGUUUAAGAACUACUAAUGAUCAACUUAAUACGAGUGUUAACCAAUUGAUGGGCUAAUAGUUGGAUGAAAGAAUAGUUUUUGGACGUUUUUAGUUGAUUAUAGUAGUUGAUGGACUGAAUUUGUAAAAAAGUGGUAUUUUAGAGGUUGACUGUUUGUUUGUUCAAUGAAAAAAUAUAUGCAAAGUUUCUAAAAUCUCAUUUACUAAUUUAACACCUUUGAUUUGUAUUUUACUUUUAAAAUAUGAAAUUAUCAAACAACGUCAAUUUUACUUUGAAAGCUCUUUUUUCUCUUUAAUUUUGAAUUAGUUUUUUUGAGCCAGAAAUAACAUGGACAAAAUACCUAUUGUGAGAAUUUAUUUAUUUUUUUGGUCAAAGAGAAUCUUUUAUUAAGUGCAAAAUAAAGUUUUAGAAUUUGUUAUGUGCUGCUUUGUUUGGUAAAUUAGUAGCACAUCUUGACUAUUUUGUGAUACAAAGAUUAAUUAACUUUUAUUUAUCCUAACUAUUAUAGUACACUCAAUUUUCUUGUUUAUAUUUCAAUUCCCGCUGCCGUUUAUAAUCAACGAUAUUAUAUUAGUAUUUUUGAAGGGAUCAUGCUAACAAGUACCCACUUGUUAGUAUUUCCCUUCUUUAAAAACCAAAAUACUGCAUUAAUAAGUUAAUUUUUUUGUUCUUUCUAGUACAUAUUUUCCUCUUCAAAACAAAAAGAAAAGUACUUUUUUAUUUUACAAAACUAAGGCAUUUUUGCAACAUAAAAUUAGAUACACGUAUGAAAGGGGAUGUUGUUGAAUAUUGAUGUCCAAAUACAUUUUACUCACAAAAACAUUAAAACAAUACGGAACAUCGUUUAAUAAUUUGAUACUAACAUGGCUCCGUUGGAUUGGUGUAGAUUAGAAGUGGAGAGAUAAGGUUUGUGGUGCAAAAUUGUACUCCUUUUGUUUCUUAUUAAAUGUGGUGGUUGAUAUUUUAAAGAUUAUUUUGACCAAGUAAGUUUUGUUAAGGAGUAUAACGGUUAGGAAUUCAUAAAUAUAAAUUUUAUCUUGAAAACUUGAACAUCUUAUAUCUAACAUUUAUUUUUAUAUAUUAAUACAAAAAUAUGAUUAAAGUAGAUUAUAUGAAUAAUAAACAUGAUCAAACCGCGACACUUAGAAAGAGUAAUUCAUAAGUAUAGCUUAAAAGACUGUUUGGUGAGUUGGAAUUCAAAGGGGGUUCCUCUUAAAUCUUAAUACAGAGAUAUAAAUGAAAUUGAUAAAGGAAAUAAGGAAUGAAGGAAUAUUCAUAGAAUGGAUGGUUCAUGGUUGACAAGAAGAUUCACCAAAGUAGUUGGGAACUAAAGGGAUUCAUUAUUUUUGGAAAGAUUAGUGACAAGACGAAAGGGUGAUGAAGAAUAAGUUCAAGCACGUAUAUACCAUUGCAACUGAAAACGAUAGCACGGUGGAUAUGUAUGUGAUCGUAAGUUAAAGGACGUUCAACUUGGGGUUGGAGGAGGAGAAGAUUUAAUUUUAGUGCUUGAAGUGCAAACGGUAAAUAAGAUAAAGAAAUAUCUUGUAUCCUUCUUCCGUAACCAAAAACAAGCACUACAUAUAUGAUCAAGCAACGAGGCACGAUUUCAACGCAACACUAAUUAAUUGAUUUUCUAAUCUUAGCACUACAAUACAAAAUACAAAUAUAUGCAUUUAUAGACAUAUUUGUCUAUAUAUAUAUAUAUAUAUAUAUAUACUCUAGUACAAAUGUACAAUCUAACUAUCAUGCAGUACUAAUAAAAAAUCUAAGAGGAAAUACUAUUGAGGAGCUGCUUCAACAGGACUUUCUUCAAUCUCCAUUGGACUAAAACUCACUCGUUUCUGCAAAAUAUUUAACAAAACAACAUUAAUUCAUUAACACAAUUUUCUGGAAAAAUGGAUUAGUAGCUAAAAGAUGAAAUGAAUCUAUUUACUAAGAAACUAUACAUAUUAUUAGAGUCUAAAACAACUUUAAGUGCACGGUUGGUAUUACGGUGUGUAUGUUAGAAUCACGAUAAUUAACCAUGAUUUUGCAGAAGCUACAAAGUGUAGCUUUUAGGAAAUCACAAUGGAUCAUCAUGAUUCUGACAUAUUCACCGUGAUACCAAACAAAGAAAUGUUCUUUCCUCUGUCUUUUUAUUUUAUUUUUCCCCUUGUUAAAUUGGGUAUUUGAAUACGCCAAAAUCUCCUAUAAUAGGUUUUAUUGUGCCACACCAACAAGUAAACGACGAGUAUUAGUAUAUUGAGUUCACAUGUAAAUGAUCAAAAUAAUUGAGUGCAUGCGUAUGUAAUAAAGCUACAAAAACUGUAAGUUGUUCUCUAGCGGUUUGUUAGGAUGUGAAACCUCCAAAAUCCUUUUCAGUUUUCACAUAGCAUGUUUGACAUUAUUUGAAGUAAAAUAAUGUAUUUUACUUACUUGAAAGUUAGGAAAUGUAUCAUGAAGAAACUAUACAUUAAAUUGAUAAAGUACUUCCC